GUGCUCGCUUCAGCAGCACAUAUGCUAAAACUGAACGACACAGAGGGUUAGCAUGGACCCUGUGCAAGCAUGACAUGCAAAUUCGUAAAGUGUUCCAUAUAUAU
Molecule: small nuclear RNA, 104 nt
Organism: Rhinolophus ferrumequinum (greater horseshoe bat)
Lineage: Eukaryota; Metazoa; Chordata; Mammalia; Chiroptera; Rhinolophidae
Source: Ensembl